RNAcentral lists this ribosomal RNA (301 nucleotides) under uncultured bacterium. RNAcentral describes it as "partial 16S ribosomal RNA". It matches the Rfam family "Bacterial small subunit ribosomal RNA", at positions 509 to 807 of the family's 1533-position model. The record is from RNAcentral.
CAGCAGCCGCGGGAAUACGUAGGUGGCAAGCGUUGUCCGGAAUUAUUGGGCGUAAAGGGCUCGCAGGCGGUUUCUUAAGUCUGAUGUGAAAGCCCACGGCUCAACCGUGGAGGGUCAUUGGAAACUGGGAAACUUGAGUGCAGAAGAGGAGAGUGGAAUUCCACGUGUAGCGGUGAAAUGCGUAGAGAUGUGGAGGAACACCAGUGGCGAAGGCGACUCUCUGGUCUGUAACUGACGCUGAGGAGCGAAAGCGUGGGGAGCGAACAGGAUUAGAUACCCGAGUAGUCCCUGUCUCUUAUAC